Molecule: microRNA precursor, 60 nt
Filed under: Callorhinchus milii (elephant shark)
Lineage: Eukaryota; Metazoa; Chordata; Chondrichthyes; Chimaeriformes; Callorhinchidae
Description: Cmi-Mir-153-P4_pre stem-loop
Rfam family: mir-153 microRNA precursor family
Source: RNAcentral
UCAUUUUUGUGAUUUGCAGCUUGUGUGUGUCAGCUCAGUUGCAUAGUCACAAAAGUGAUC